AGGGGUAUUCUUAGCAAAGCUACUCUAAUGUGUGUAAUGACAUGAAGUCAUGUGACAACUACAUCUAGCUGAUUACACACUUUUACUUAAGUACGUUUGUUUGACUUUAUUUUCACAUUGUGGUACAAGUACUUUCACUGAAGUAAACGCUUCUUCCACCACUGUUCACUUUACUGUGGAGUAGUUCCUAAAGCCAUAUCAAAUCAAAUCAAAUUUAUUUGUAUAGCCCAAUAUCACAAAUUAUACAUUUGUCUCAGUGUUUACAGACUGUACAGGAUACGACACCCUCUGUCCUUACACCCUCUGUCCUUAGACCCUCUGUCCUUACACCCUCUGUCCUUAGACCCUCUGUCCUUACACCCUCUCUCCUUAGACCCUCUGUCCUUAGACCCUCUGUCCUUAGACCCUCUGUCCUUAUACCCUCUCUCCUUAGACCCUCUGUCCUUAGACCCUCUGUCCUUAGACCCUCUGUCCUUACAUCCUCUGUCCUUAGACCCUCUGUCCUUACACCCUCUCUCCUUAGACCCUCUGUCCUUAGACCCUCUGUCCUUACACCCUCUGUCCUUAGACCCUCUGUCCUUAGACCCUCUGUCCUUACACCCUCUGUCCUUAGACCCUCUGUCCUUACACCCUCUCUCCUUAGACCCUCUGUCCUUAGACCCUCUGUCCUUAGACCCUCUGUCCUUACACCCUCUGUCCUUAGACCCUCUGUCCUUAGACUCUCUGUCCUUAGACCCUCUGUCCUUAGACCCUCUGUCCUUACACCCUCUCUCCUUAGACCCUCUGUCCUUAGACCCUCUGUCCUUACACCCUCUCUCCUUAGACCCUCUGUCCUUAGACCCUCUGUCCUUACACCCUCUGUCCUUAGACCCUCUGUCCUUAGACCCUCUGUCCUUAGACCCUCUGUCCUUACACCCUCUGUCCUUAGACCCUCUCUCCUUAGACCCUCUGUCCUUAGACCCUCUGUCCUUACACCCUCUGUCCUUAGACCCUCUGUCCUUACACCCUCUCUCCUUAGACCCUCUGUCCUUAGACCCUCUGUCCUUAGACCCUCUGUCCUUACACCCUCUGUCCUUAGACCCUCUGUCCUUAGACUCUCUGUCCUUAGACCCUCUGUCCUUAGACCCUCUGUCCUUACACCCUCUGUCCUUAGACCCUCUCUCCUUAGACCCUCUGUCCUUAGACCCUCU
This 1190-nucleotide long non-coding RNA is filed under the name Cottoperca gobio. RNAcentral describes it as "lncRNA (ENSCGOG00000003180.1)". Lineage: Eukaryota; Metazoa; Chordata; Actinopteri; Perciformes; Bovichtidae. The record is from RNAcentral.